GUAUGUCACGCGACGAGCUAAUACCCGAUGUGCCGGAAGGUGAAACAUUUAUGGCCUGAGGAUGAGCUCGCGUCUGAUUAGCUAGUUGGAGUGGUAAUGGCACACCAAGGCGACGAUCAGUAGCUGGUCUGAGAGGAUGAUCAGCCACACUGGGACUGAGACACGGCCCAGACUCCUACGGGAGGCAGCAGUGGGGAAUUUUCCGCAAUGGGCGCAAGCCUGACGGAGCAAGACCGCGUGGGGGACGAAGGUUUGUGGAUUGUAAACCCCUUUUGAUUGGGAAGAAGUUCUGACGGUACCAAUCGAAUCAGCAUCGGCUAACUCCGUGCCAGCAGCCGCGGUAAUACGGAGGAUGCAAGCGUUAUCCGGAAUUAUUGGGCGUAAAGCGUCCGUAGGUGGCUAUUCAAGUCAGAUGUUAAAGCGUGGGGCUUAACUCCAUAAAGGCAUCUGAAACUGAUUGGCUAGAGUGCGAUAGGGGCAAGGGGAAUUUCCAGUGUAGCGGUGAAAUGCGUAGAUAUUGGAAAGAACACCGGUGGCGAAAGCGCCUUGCUGGGUCUGCACUGACACUGAGGGACGAAAGCUAGGGGAGCGAAUGGGAUUAGAUACCCCC
RNAcentral lists this ribosomal RNA (610 nucleotides) under Leptolyngbya sp. CALU226. RNAcentral's name for it is "bacterial SSU rRNA". It matches the Rfam family "Bacterial small subunit ribosomal RNA", at positions 146 to 789 of the family's 1533-position model. Lineage: Bacteria; Bacillati; Cyanobacteriota; Cyanophyceae; Leptolyngbyales; Leptolyngbyaceae. The record is from RNAcentral.